This 303-nucleotide ribosomal RNA is filed under the name uncultured bacterium. RNAcentral describes it as "partial 16S ribosomal RNA". It matches the Rfam family "Bacterial small subunit ribosomal RNA", at positions 507 to 807 of the family's 1533-position model. The record is from RNAcentral.
AGCAGUAGCCGCGGUAAUACGUAGGUGCCAAGCGUUGUCCGGAACUAUUGGGCGUAAAGGGCUCGCAGGCGGUUUCUUAAGUCUGAUGUGAAAGCCCCCGGCUCAACCGGGGAGGGUCAUUGGAAACUGGGAAACUUGAGUGCAGAAGAGGAGAGUGGAAUUCCACGUGUAGCGGUGAAAUGCGUAGAGAUGUGGAGGAACACCAGUGGCGAAGGCGACUCUCUGGUCUGUAACUGACGCUGAGGAGCGAAAGCGUGGGGAGCGAACAGGAUUAGAUACCCCUGUAGUCCCUGUCUCUUAUAC